This 253-nucleotide ribosomal RNA is filed under the name uncultured bacterium. RNAcentral describes it as "partial 16S ribosomal RNA". It matches the Rfam family "Bacterial small subunit ribosomal RNA", at positions 524 to 776 of the family's 1533-position model. The record is from RNAcentral.
UACGUAGGGUGCAAGCGUUAAUCGGAAUUACUGGGCGUAAAGCGUACGCAGGCGGCUUUGCAAGACAGGUGUGAAAUCCCCGGGCCUAACCUGGGAACUGCAUUUGUGACUGCAUGGCUAGAGUUUGUCAGAGGGGGGUGGAAUUCCACGUGUAGCAGUGAAAUGCGUAGAUAUGUGGAGGAACACCGAUGGUGAAGGCAGCCCCCUGGGAUGUGACUGACGCUCAUGUACGAAAGCGUGGGGAGCAAACAGG